Molecule: long non-coding RNA, 1369 nt
Organism: Gavialis gangeticus (Gharial)
Lineage: Eukaryota; Metazoa; Chordata; Crocodylia; Gavialidae
Exons: 3
Source: RefSeq, a predicted model, not a curated record
UUAUGGUUCUUUAGAACGUAAGGGAAUCUCUCUCUCUCGCACUCUUUGCUAUUUUGUGGAGUGGAAGUAAAAUCUCUCCUCAUUGCAGUCCCUCUAAUGUCACAGCCAUUCCUCUCGGCUUUGUGCUGCUCUUUUUUUUUUCUAUUUCCAGCCUGUGAGCACAGCUUCUAUACGUGGAGGGUCUGCCUGCAUUCUUGCAUGUUUUGCUGCGGUAAGGCAAUUUGCUACUCUAAGCAGAAACUGGAUAUCUGAGGGGCACCUUUUUCCCCCUUACCCUGUAUGCUCUAGUGUCAGUACCCAUCCUGUGCAAUCUGGAAACCUCACAAGAAAUGCCUGUGUAUCACAGGCAAACUUGGCCUAGGAUGCAAAUGUCAACCCAGAGAAUCUAAAGUGACUCACUGUACACACAUGUAUCUUGAGAGCCUUUUCCAUGUGCACAAUUAACUCGUUGACAAUCCAUGUUAUGUAACCACUGGUCAUGAAUCACUGAGAUUACUGUUUGGAACAGGCCAAGGAAGGCUCAGGCUGUGAAACCAAUUCAUGUAAUUAUCUAUAAUGACACUAAUAUAGAACAUAUUAAUAAUGGGAACUGAUGUGUUCUUUCCAUUUGCGUCGCCCCGAUUGGUCCAGCAGGCAUCCUAAUGUUUUGCUUAUUCUGUUGGCAGACUUGUUUAUUAUCUGCUGCUUCUGUGAGGGAAGAGAAUUGGAAUCUGCCGUGAAAAGGAGAUGCUAAUGGAUCUGGCAAGGUUGAUUGCAAAAUGGAACAAUGGAAAAGGACAAACAUGAAAAGCCCUGGGAGCCAUCCAUGGAGAGGAGGAAUUAUAACUUGCACCUGAUGCUCAUGCUUAAAACAGAAUCCAGGAAAGAACCAGGAAACUUCAGAAUUUUGCCAUGUACAUCACCUGACUGCUGACAAAGACCUGGAAAAAGACAUCCUGUGAACCUCUACUGAGACAACCUAUAAAAUUUGGUGCUGAAAUGAAGAAUGCUUGAAGCAUAUUGUCUGAGGCACAUGCAGCCCUUAGCAUAUUUCCAUUGUGUCAAACUACUCCAACUCAUCCUACCUUCAGUCAGCUAACUGCAAAUGCAGUUAAAAUGCAUAUGGAAAAAUGCUGCCAUAUAAAUGUGGAAUGCAAUGAUAACGAGGGCACAUCCUUUUUCCUUCUAUUGACUUAUUAUGCACUUCUAGAUUUUAAGGCCAGAAAGGACAAUUAGAUUAUUUAGUCUGAAUUCCUAUAUAAUACAUAUACACAGUACAGUUUCAUCCAGUUACUACUAUAUUGAGCUUAAUACCUUGUGGUUGUCUAAACCUAAGUAUCUUCCAAGUCAGCAUAACUUGAACUUUUGCCUUCAAGAGAUUGAGAAUCCA